Molecule: ribosomal RNA, 427 nt
Filed under: uncultured prokaryote
Description: bacterial SSU rRNA
Rfam family: Bacterial small subunit ribosomal RNA
Source: RNAcentral
UAGGGAAUAUUGGGCAAUGGGCGAAAGCCUGACCCAGCGACGCCGUGUGAGGGAUGAAGGCCUUCGGGUUGUAAACCUCUAACGCCGAUCAAGAAGUGUGCGGAAGCGAAUAACUUCUGUAUGCAGACGAGUCGGGGAUGAAGUCAUGGCUAACUCUGUGCCAGCAGCAGCGGUAAUACAGAGAUGACAACCGUUAUUCGGAAUCACUGGGCUUAAAGGGCACGUAGGCGGUGAGCUAAGUUGGUUGUGAAAUAUCACGUUUUAAGCGUGGAACGUCAGCCAAUACUGACUUGCUUGAGGAUAGCAGAGGAGAGUGGAAUUCCUGGUGGAGCGGUGAAAUGCGUUGAUAUCAGGAGGAACAUCGGAGGCGAAGGCGACUCUCUGGGCUAUACCUGACGCUGAGGUGCGAAAGCUAGGGGAGCAAACG